This 107-nucleotide small nuclear RNA is filed under the name Tupaia belangeri chinensis (Chinese tree shrew). The record is from RNAcentral. Lineage: Eukaryota; Metazoa; Chordata; Mammalia; Scandentia; Tupaiidae.
GUGCUCGUUUCGGCAGCACAUAUACUAAAAUUGGAACGAUACAGAGAAGAUUAGCAUGGCCCCUGCGCGAGGAUGACACACAAAUUUGUGAAGCGUUCCAUAUUAAA